AAAAAAAGGGGGCUGAGAAGUGAGAAAGAAAUACACAAUAUAAAUUGUUUGAGCUAAGUAAGAAAAUUGUUUUGAACUAUACUACACUUCCCUUGGCAUGUACCAAAUACGUGGAGUACAAGAUUUCUUCUGAAAUCUUCUGUGUAGUAUCACCCAGAAAACAAACAAAAUAACAAUAAUAAUGAAAACAACAAUUUGUGUAUCUUUUCUUUCAAUUCAUUCACUUCCUCAAGGUUUGCAUGAUGUACUCGGCGUAAAGGUCCCUACACAGU
Molecule: long non-coding RNA, 272 nt
Filed under: Salvia miltiorrhiza (redroot sage)
Lineage: Eukaryota; Viridiplantae; Streptophyta; Magnoliopsida; Lamiales; Lamiaceae
Description: long non-coding RNA (SMIL_LNC004702)
Source: RNAcentral